UGUUAUUAUUAUUAUUAUUGACAGACAUGGCUAAAACUUCACGCUAUCUAAUAAUUACUCAAAGAAAGAUCUAAAACUAUCAAAAAUCUUAGGUCACAUAUGCAUAUUCUCCAAAAUCUCCAUCAAAUCUUCAAACCAACAGAAAACAUUUAAACAAAGGCAAUUUUCACCAAAACCCUAAAACCCAGCAGCAGCAAAAUAAUCAAAAUCCCAAAAGAAUCAAACCCUUAAGGCUCCGUUUAGUUUACAACAGAAACGAAAUGAGAAUUUGAAUCCCAUUCGAUUCCCCUAUUUAAGAUGCUGAUUUUUGGAAAUUAAAUAUGCGGCCAAAUGCCCCAAAAACUUGCUAGAAAUUGUAUAACCUUAAAUUUUGAUGGUACUCGAAUUCCGCUACUAUUAUCUAUCAGGCGUCUGGCUUUUGCCACUCCAACCCCAAGCACCCACGCCUCCGUCCUCUGAACAGGAGAAACAAGCGGGGACUAGCUCAGCUGGGUGUGCAAAUUUGAGCG
RNAcentral lists this unclassified non-coding RNA (509 nucleotides) under Hevea brasiliensis (rubber tree). The record is from RNAcentral. Lineage: Eukaryota; Viridiplantae; Streptophyta; Magnoliopsida; Malpighiales; Euphorbiaceae.